This 273-nucleotide ribosomal RNA is filed under the name uncultured bacterium. RNAcentral describes it as "partial 16S ribosomal RNA". It matches the Rfam family "Bacterial small subunit ribosomal RNA", at positions 524 to 796 of the family's 1533-position model. The record is from RNAcentral.
UACGUAGGGGGCGAGCGUUGUCCGGAAUUAUUGGGCGUAAAGGGCGUGUAGGCGGCCGAUCAAGUCAGGUGUGAAAUUCCAGGGCCCAACCCUGGACGUGCACUUGAAACUGGUUGGCUUGAGUGCAGAAGAGGAAAGUGGAAUUCCCAGUGUAGCGGUGAAAUGCGUAGAUAUUGGGAGGAACACCAGUGGCGAAGGCGACUUUCUGGUCUGUAACUGACGCUGAGGCGCGAAAGCUAGGGGAGCAAACAGGAUUAGAUACCCCCGUAGUCC